CUACGGGUGGCUCCAGUAGGGAAUCUUCCACAAUGGGCGAAAGCCUGAUGGAGCAACGCCGCGUGAGUGAAGAAGGUUUUCGGAUCGUAAAACUCUGUUGUAAGGGAAGAACAAGUACAGUAGUAACUGGCUGUACCUUGACGGUACCUUAUUAGAAAGCCACGGCUAACUACGUGGCCAGCAGCCGCGGUAAUACGUAGGUGGCAAGCGUUGUCCGGAAUUAUUGGGCGUAAAGCGCGCGCAGGCGGUCCUUUAAGUCUGAUGUGAAAGCCCACGGCUCAACCGUGGAGGGUCAUUGGAAACUGGGGGACUUGAGUGCAGAAGAGGAAAGUGGAAUUCCAAGUGUAGCGGUGAAAUGCGUAGAGAUUUGGAGGAACACCAGUGGCGAAGGCGACUUUCUGGUCUGUAACUGACGCUGAGGCGCGAAAGCGUGGGGAGCAAACAGGAUUAGAUACCCGAGUAGUC
RNAcentral lists this ribosomal RNA (465 nucleotides) under uncultured bacterium. RNAcentral describes it as "partial 16S ribosomal RNA". It matches the Rfam family "Bacterial small subunit ribosomal RNA", at positions 339 to 795 of the family's 1533-position model. The record is from RNAcentral.